AGAGUUCGAUUAUGGCUCAGGACGAACGCUGGCGGCGUGCUUAACACAUGCAAGUUGAACGGACGAUACUAGAGUGCUUGCACUCUUAUAAAGUUAGUAGCGGACGGGUGAGUAACGCGUGAGCAACCUGCCCUGCAAUGGGGGACAACAGUUGGAAACGACUGCUAAUACCGCAUGAGACCACACUACCGCAUGGUAGAGAGGUAAAAGGAUUUAUUCGAUGCAGGAUGGGCUCGCGUCCCAUUAGAUAGUUGGUGAGGUAAAAGCUCACCAAGUCGACGAUGGGUAGCCGACCUGAGAGGGUGAUCGGCCACACUGGAACUGAGACACGGUCCAG
This 337-nucleotide ribosomal RNA is filed under the name uncultured bacterium. Its description in RNAcentral is "bacterial SSU rRNA". It matches the Rfam family "Bacterial small subunit ribosomal RNA", at positions 8 to 334 of the family's 1533-position model. The record is from RNAcentral.